AGUUGUUCCAUGAACUCUGCCCUGUGAGACGGUCGCAUCGACAGAGGAAUCCAGGGCACUUUAGCACCAAACUGUCAGAUGUGCCAGCCUGUCCUAGUGGUCAGAGGAAAUUUCCCUAAUAUGUAGCAUUUCAGCUGAGACCUGAAGGAUGAGCACAGUUUAGCCGGGCGUCUGGGAGAGACUGGGUCACUUUACAGAAGCACAGAAUAUGGAAGAGUGACUGUCCCUACUAAAGCAUUCCACACAGGGUACUGUGUGGUUUUAUUGACUGCUGAGACUACCAAGUUGAGCAAACCCUUUGAGGCUUUCCUGUCCUUUGCCCUGGCAAACACUCAAGACACAGUGAGAUUUGUGCAUGUCUACAGCAAUCGGCAGCAGGAGUUUGCCGGCACCUUACUACCAGACGGUGAGGCGUUUCAAGGGAAAUCAGCGGUGUCUAUUUUAGAAAGGCGCAACACAGCAGGAAGGGUGGUGUAUAAAACCCUGGAAGACCCUUGGACUGGGAGUGAGAGUGACAAAUUUAUCCUCUUGGGCUAUCUCGACCAGCUGCGUAAAGAUCCAGCUCUUCUGUCCUCUGAAGCAGUGCUUCCCGACCUGACCGAUGAACUUGCCCCUGUUUUUCUCCUUCGAUGGUUCUACUCUGCUUGUGACUACAUCUCAGACUGCUGGGAUAGCAUUUUUCACAACAACUGGAAAGGAUCACCCAUGGCUGCCAUUCUGGGCAGCAGAGCCUGGGACUGUCUCUUCAUCAGGGAACCUCUGGUGCCCAGCACAGGGCCUGACACACAUGGAGUCCAGUGUAUAGAUGUAAAAGGAAUGAGUGAAUUAACCUCAAGAGGGAUACCUGCUCCCACCUACUGAUAAGACCAUGAGCCCCUGAAGGACAGAACCACAUCUCAUUCAUGUUUGUGAUUCCUGGCACCCAACACAGCACCUGACAAAUGACAGCCUUUGAUGGGUGUUGGCGGGAAAUGAUGCCCCUGCUGUCCCUGAUCUUCUCUGCCCUCUUCAUCCUCUUCGGCACUGUCAUCGUUCAGGCUUUCAGCGACUCUAGUGAUGAGCGAGAGUCAAGCCCUCCAGAUAAAGAGGAAGCCCAAGAGAAGACUGGGAAGACUGAGCCAAGCUUCACCAAAGAAAACAGCAGGUUUCUCUAACAAAACACCAGACUCACCUCCCCGGCACCUGCCCCCCAGAUGCUGUCAUCUGAUAACGCAGCACUGGAACAUAGAGUGUAGAGAAGAACUCUCAUGCACCUCCCCCCAUGUAAACUGUGGCUACAGGGAAAAGUCACUGUGACUUGUGUUUACUAAGACCCUCUAGGUGUUUAGGUGCCUUAGAUUUCAUAAUGAAGGCAGAAGGAAAGAAGCCUAUCAGCAAGAUUCCUAAAAAAGGCUUUGUGGAGGUAACUGAACUCACAGAUGUAACAUACACCAGUAACUUGGUACGUCUGAGGCCAGGCCACAUGAAUGUGGUCCUCAUCCUGUCGAAUUCUACCAAGACCAGCCUACUACAGAAAUUUGCUUUGGAGGUCUACACAUUUACUGGGAGCAGCUGCCUACACUUCUCCUUCCUGAGUCUAGAUAAACACAGAGAAUGGCUAGAAUACUUAUUAGAAUUUGCUCAAGAUGCAGCUCCAAUCCCAAACCAAUAUGAUAAGCAUUUCAUGGAGCGUGACUACACUGGUUAUGUACUGGCUCUGAAUGGCCACAAGAAAUACUUCUGCCUCUUCAAGCCCCAAAAAACAGUCGAAGAGGAGGAAGCCAUAGGGUCGUGCAGUGAUGUUGACUCUUCCCUCUACCUGGGUGAAUCUCGAGGGAAACCUUCCUGUGGCCUUGGAUCCAGGCCCAUCAAAGGAAAGUUAAGCAAGCUCUCCUUAUGGAUGGAACGCCUGCUGGAGGGCUCCUUACAGAGGUUUUAUAUCCCAUCAUGGCCUGAACUAGACUGAGAGGAUUUUCAAAAGAGAUUUGAACUCUUCAGACUUUUUAACAUGCCCCUGUGAACAGUUUGAAAAGGAAAGGAAUAAACGGGAGUUCUGCAUGUGAGUUCUCAAGAAAAGGAAAGGGAGGCUGAGCAGUGGCUGAAGCGAUGCAGCCUUGAGACACACUGAGCAUCCCAUCUGCCGCCCCAGCGCUGCUGGUAGCCAGGGGAGGGGUCUACACAGCGAGAAGUACUGUGAUGACUUUGAGCCGUUGACACAAAGAUCAUAUGGUGGUGAAACUUCGACAAGAUCACAGCCCACCACGUUCAGGCCUUGACAACCCCUGAUGAUCUCCAGAGCCUAUUCAAGAUCAAGACUGAGUUGUCCACAGUGGUAAUCAUUUACAAUGAAAAGCACCCAGUAGAGCUUUUCCCAGCACACACCACCCUUUGACUUGGAAUUGGCUUUCCCUCCAUAAACAUUUGUUGACUGCCAGGCACACUGGCAGGCCUCCCAGAGACACAGAUAAUGCGUACACAGUCCCUGCUCCUCAGGGCUGCAUGGUGUGGUGAUGGAGACAAGGAAACCAAUCAUUUCAAUGUCAUGCACCAAGGGCUUCAAGAAAAGCAAGCCCAGAAUGGUAUCAGCACAGGUAACAGACUGGAGAGGUGAAAAGCCCAGAAGAUUGCUAAGCAGAGGGAUGAGGAAUGUGUUUCAGAAAUCCCUCAUGAGAAGAGAGGAUGGUUACGGCCAUGUCAAGAGAGAGAGUUAUGGCCACCCUCCUUUAAGAUCUUAGAGGAUGUAAGGAAGAAGGUUGGGAAGUACCCGUCUAGUAAACUAUAAUUUCCAAUAUCUACUUCAACAUUUUGGGUGUCCUCCAAGGGCAGUACCUUGUAAAACACAAGGAAUAAAUGUUUUGUGAGUGAC
This 2845-nucleotide small RNA is filed under the name Pongo abelii (Sumatran orangutan). RNAcentral describes it as "processed transcript". Lineage: Eukaryota; Metazoa; Chordata; Mammalia; Primates; Hominidae. The record is from RNAcentral.